Long non-coding RNA from Mustela lutreola (European mink), 2166 nucleotides. RefSeq lists it as uncharacterized. The transcript is spliced from 4 exons. NCBI's taxonomy places the organism in Eukaryota, Metazoa, Chordata, Mammalia, Carnivora, Mustelidae. The record is from RefSeq and is a predicted model, not a curated record.
CCUUUAAAAGCUCCAGAAGUUCACCCUCGCUGACUUUUGCUCCUCCUGCCUUUAGGAGCCUUCUCAGCAAACAUACACAAGAGUGACGAUCUGUGCUCUCUAGGUUACCCACACCCUGAGUGUCUUUCACAGAGCAGAAGUUUUAGUUUUAAGGCCGUCCACCUUCUUUCUUCCGUGGAUCACCCCUUUGUUGUGGUUAUCUAAAAAGGCAUCACCCAACCCAUGGUCUGCUGCCUAGAUAUUCUCCUAGUGUUCACCAUUUUCUAUUGGGUUGUCUUCUUAUUUUUGAGGUAAUUUUGUGAUGGUGAUCUCAGCCACCUGCCCAGCCCUGGAGAUGCUGAAGGGACAGGUCAGAUUUGGGUGACCAACACCUGCUGCAUGGAGGGCUUGGGGACACCAGGAUCUCCUAGGUGACCCACAGGCCUGGGCCUUUCUCCCUGAGAGCCCACACUACCACCUCCCUGACUGCAGAGACACCGAGGCCUGCCUGGUGUGUGAAUCCCUGCCUGGGGCCCCCAGACCACUCCUGAUGGAAGGAUCCCACCAUCCAGCCCCUUCAAAACCUUGUCUGUCAGUCCCCACAGCCCCCUGAAAUGGUCUCCCUCAUGGCCAAAGGCCCCACAGCUCUGACUCAUGUGCCCAGAACCCAGAUACAGUGUGGCUUCUCCCCUCCUGCAGAGUACCAGGAGGGCUCCCUCUCCUGGCCCACACCCUUCCCUUCCUUGCUCGCUAGUUACCUGGAUUCUGUGCAUCAGCUUGCCAGGGAGAGGUUGGGCAGAGAACCUGGCUACCGAGUCUCAUGCACUGCUUGUAAGGGUCAGGAAGGCAUGGCUUCCAAAGGGCUGCAGCUGUCAGGGGGCCUGGGUGGCUCAGUGGGUUCUGCUUUCAGCUCAGGUCAUGAUCCCAGGGACCUCGGAUUGGGUUCCCUGCUGGGUGGGAAGCCUGCUUCUCCCUCUCCCACUCCCCCUGCUUGUGUUCUCUCUCUUGUUGUGUCUCUAUCAAAUAAAAUCUUAAAAGAAGAACAAGAAGGGGAACAAGAAGGGGAACAAGAAGGAAGAGGAGGAGGAGGAGGAGAAAGUCAGUCUCACAGCCACAGCAUCAACAGCACUGUCCGGAGCCAACAUCUGUGGAGGCUUUUUUUCUGCCCUAUUGAGACUGUUCUCAGUGCUUCGCAAGAACUGGCUCCUCUAUCCCCAGCAAAGGCCCCAAGAAAUAAGUCCUUUUUGGUAAAGACUGUGUAUGUAUGCAUUUGAGAGCAAAAGAGAGCACAAGCAGGGAGAGGGAGCAUCGAGGGAGAAAUGAGGAAGAAGUGAGGGGGAGGGAGAAGCAGACUCCCCGCUGAGCAGGGAGCCCAAUGUGGGGGAUCUAUCCCAGGACCCUGGGACCUAAGCUGAAGGCAGAUGCUUAACUCACUGAACUGCCCAGGCGCCCUAGAAAUAUCUCCAGAGGCUGGUUGGGAGGGAGCCCACAGUGUGGCCCUUCCCCACAGAGCCUGCAGGAGGUCAGUCGCAGGCCACGGUUCGGUGGCUCCAUUCUGUAGGCAGCAGGAAAUGGAAGAUGAGGGAGAACCAGACACCCAAAGAAGGACAAGGUCGCUGAGGGGAAGUCCAGGUCCCACAACCAAGGCUCUGGCAUUGGAGCAAAACUCUAGGGACACACACACACACACCCCACACAGCUUUCUUUGGAGGCCGACCAUGAAAAUGUGUCUGAGGCCUAGGGUGAUGAGGCCUAGAGAGGGGUGGGUUUCCAGCUGGAGGGGUCUGGAAGGCAUCCCCGGGGAAGGCUGCUGCUGAAUGGAGAUAGGAAAGUCCAGGACCAAGUGGAGGAAAGGCCAUCCUGGAGAGGACAUUGGUAUGCCCCAAUUUUAUAAUUUUAUUAUUACUAUUUUUUAAGUAGGCUCCAAGCCCAACGUGGGGCUUAAAUUCAUAUAAGGUUAAGAGUUGCACGCUCUAACACUGAACCAGUCAGGUGCCACUUGAUUUUUAGUUUUAAUGAUAUUAAAUCCUCAUUUUGGGGCACUUGGGUGGCUCAGUGGGUUAAAGCCUCUGCCUUUGGCUCAGGUCAUGAUCCCAGAGUCCUGGGAUAGAGCCCCACGUCGGGCUCUCUCCUCCUCGGGGAGCCUGCUUCCUCCCUCUCUCUCUGCCUGCCUGCCUACUUGUGACC